UGUAAAAUUUUAAAGGUCGAACAGACCUAAUAUUAUAGCUUCUACACCAAAAAUUUAUUUUAAUCCAACAUCGAGGUCGCAAUCUUUUUUUUUAAUAUGAACUUUCUAAAAAAAUUACGCUGUUAUCCCUAAGGUAAUUUUAUCUUAUAAUCAAAAAUAUUGGAUCAUUUUUUCAUAAAUCAAUGAUUUUAAAUAAAAAAAGUUAAUUAAAUUUUUCAAUCACCCCAAUUAAAUUAUUUUUUAAAAAUAUUAAAUUAAUACUUAAAUAACAAAUUAUUUAAAUAAUCAAACUCUAUAGGGUCUUCUCGUCUUUUAAUUAAAAUUAAGCUUUUUAACUUAAAUAUAAAAUUCUAAUAAAAUUUAAUAGAGACAGCUAUUUUCUUAUUCAACCUUUCAUUCCAGUUUCCAAUUAAAAAACUAAUGAUUAUGCUACCUUAGCACGGUCAAUAUACCACGGCCAUUUAACUCUUCAGUGGGCAGGUCAGACCUUAAAUUAUUAACAAAAGGAC
RNAcentral lists this ribosomal RNA (509 nucleotides) under Cyrtonus gibbicollis. RNAcentral's name for it is "partial 16S ribosomal RNA". Lineage: Eukaryota; Metazoa; Arthropoda; Insecta; Coleoptera; Chrysomelidae. The record is from RNAcentral.